CCCUUGGAUGUUCUGGGCCGCACGCGCGCUACACUGACGAUGGCAACGAGUUUUUCCUUCGCCGAAAGGUGUGGGUAAUCUUUUGAAACAUCGUCGUGCUGGGGAUAGAUCAUUGCAAUUUUUGAUCUUGAACGAGGAAUUCCUAGUAAGCGCGAGUCAUCAGCUCGCGUUGAUUACGUCCCUGCCCUUUGUACACACCGCCCGUCGCUACUACCGAUUGAAUGGUUUAGUGAGGACUCCUGAUUGGCGCCGCCGCCCCGGCAACGGAGCAGCGGACUGCCGAAAAGUUGUUCAAACUUGAUCAUUUAGAGGAAGUAAAGGUCGUAACA
Molecule: ribosomal RNA, 329 nt
Filed under: uncultured eukaryote
Lineage: Eukaryota
Description: partial 18S ribosomal RNA
Rfam family: Eukaryotic small subunit ribosomal RNA
Source: RNAcentral